This is a long non-coding RNA of Marmota monax (woodchuck), 1665 nucleotides long. RefSeq lists it as uncharacterized. The record is from RefSeq and is a predicted model, not a curated record. Lineage: Eukaryota; Metazoa; Chordata; Mammalia; Rodentia; Sciuridae. The transcript has 2 exons.
CAAGAAGGCGGGCACCUCCGCCCAGGGCAGACCGCGGGCGCCCCGGGCCGUCUCGUGGAUCCCUGGCGCGCCGGCGGGGCAGACGCCGGGGAACAGCCCGGGAGCGCGCCGGGCCGGGACGGCACGCGGGAGCGGCGGGGAAGUCCCGGACCUCCGCUGCGGGUCUUUAGAAAAGUGUGGAUGAAAGUGGAUGCAGCUCUGCCCGGCCACCUCCCAGAGGCGACCUUAUCAGAGCGCGAGGGGAGUGUUCCAGCCUCCUGCUGAGCUGGGAGCUCUUCAAGGACAGCACCACGUCUAGUUCAGCUUGGUGCCCGGUGCUUAGCCCCGUGCCCAAUCAAUAGUGCCCACAUUAAAUUCCUGGCCCGACCCAGGGAAGGAGCUGGAGCCCUCCUCUUCCCGCCUCCCACCUCCCCCUCGCCCGGGACAACGCCAGUUACUUGGUUAUUGCUGGGAUUCGGCGAGGCCCUCUUCCUACCGAAAGUCCUCCGUAACCAGAGGAUACUUCAGCCAUCCGGGCCUCCAUCCCAUUCACGACUGUGUCCUCCCAGCGCCUGCCGGGUUUUGCAGGACACGCUAUUUCUUAGCCUUUGGGAAGUGCGCUCCGCCUGCCGCACUUCUGUAGCCUCUGCUCGGCUGAGUAGGCCCUUCCACCCGACUCCGUCCAGGAUUAAGUCAGUUUCGAAUGUUCAAGAAGUUGACUGGGGAGGAGGUUUUAGAAUUUCCCGUUCAGUUGUUCUGACAGCGCAGCCAGAGUGAACCCAGGAAAACCAAGGCAACGUUUUACUUUCUGCGUUGCGUCGCGGGGGAGGAACAAGCGCUGAGAACACACCCCGAGGGAAACGCAAACCAAGUCUAAUGUUUGCUGUUAGGACAGAGGUUUCAGUUAGGAGCCGAAUCCUUUACUCAAAAACCUGAUUUUGCUUAACUUUUGUGAAUCAUCUUAUUGGAAUCCUUUUCACUCUUAUUAAUGAAAUAUUUGAUUUUACUUCAGAGAGAAUUGGUCUUAGAAAUGCAGGAAUGUAUUUGUUAAGUCUUUAUUCAAGAUUUUUGCUGCUGUUGUUCAAGAUGCAUUGUUUUACUUUUUACUCAUAUUCUUCAGGCUCCAAAAGCACAGUUAAACUGUACUUGUGGAAGAAACUGAAAGAUGUGGUCUGUUUGCUUAUUUUAGCAGGAAUUGAGUUGGAAAACAAGUUUUAAGCAUGGUGGAGAUAGUUCUGAUCAGUCAGCCCCUCUCCUCUGUCCUCUUUUCCACCCUGGGCUUGCGGUAUGGCCCUGCAAGGCUCCUGAGAUUCAGUCCACUGGCUGGCUUGGACCCUGCUCCCCCACCACCACCCCAGGAUCCCAGACUUCACACUGACUGAAAUGCUGCAAACACAGCCACUUCCCACACACCAACCCUCCCUUCAGAGAGGGGGAGUGAAGAGAAGAAAGGGGGACGAAAGAGAAGAUUGUGGAAACUAAUCUCCAGAGAGAAGCAGGCCUUGGGCAGGGCCUGUAUGGAAGAGGAACAAGACUCCCCAAGGCCUGCUCACACGAACAGAUUGUGAGAUCAAGAGCAUAAAAAUGGAGUCAUCGAUGGAAACCACUAUCUGGAGUUCAUCAUUUAAGUGUUACAACAUAUCCUUCUUAGAAAAUAAAAUGGCAUUUAUAUAAUUGGAGCAUGAA